CUUUUCUACUUGUCGUCUUUCCUUGAACAAGUUUGUGUCGCAUUUAGUUGUUAUGUUUGUCCUUGAUUAUGUUCCUAUGAGACUUUUGGACCGGUUUUUCUUUCUGGGUUUACUGACCGGAACUCAGUUUUAUUUUACUAUUACAAACAUCUUUUAGCAACAAUAUAAAUCAAAUAAAAUUGUGAAAUGAAGACAUCGGCGGUUUGGUGUUUCAAUGGGAUUAUUCUGUGCAUCGGGGUUUCAUUGAGAGCAAGAGGGUCGUCUCAGAUUCAUCUUGUUGGUUCAGUUGACCCAGUCGUUGCCUGUGACGAUGUCGUACUACCGUGCUACCUGAAACCCAACGUCAGCGCUGUGGACAUGAUGGUGGAGUGGACAAGAACUGACCUGAAAACUCAAAGGUCCAUCUUUACCGUGAAGGUCGAGACUCCAACGGUCACCAGCUUCCAUUCUACAGCGGAAGGACAUCACUGUUAGAAGAACUGAAGAACGGCAACGGCUCCUUAAAACUGACCGGAGUUACUCUCUCUGAUGCUGGACACUACAAGUGCUUCAUUCCAACACUGACGAAGAUAACAACCAUUCAACUUAUAGUUGGUGCUGUAUCCCAGCCAGUGAUCUCUAUUAAUGGAACCAAAGGCUGGGGGGUGGUCCUGAAGUGUAACUCUGGAGGCUGGUACCCACAGCCUGAGCUUGAGUUGUUGGACUAUCAUGGAAACAUCCUCUCUGCUAGCGAACCCACUGAGACAAGCGACUCGUCAGAGACCGAGAUUCACCCUGAGGGUUGCUACACCGUGAGACGAUAUGUCACCAUCCAGAAGACUGACGAUAACAGGUUCACCUGUAGAGUCGUACAGCUGCAGAUCAACCAGACGCGGGAGACUCAGAUUCAUGUCCCAGACGAUAUGUUUCCUAGCGUGUGGUGGAUUGUGGGUAUAGUAGCAGGAGCUGUAGUGGCCUUUGCAGCUUUUGCUGUUCUGCUCUACUUUUGCAGAAAACAACGUGAUAAACUCAGAAAAGAAGCAAAAAAAAAUGGAGAUCUUCAGACUGAGCUGGAUGCAGAGGAGAACAUUAGACAACAUGUAGAGAAGAAGGUUGUCGGUUUUUUGGAUGCUCGCAGGCCGAAGCUCGUUGACAAUGUCACCAAGGUGAUUCCCAUAGCAGAUGCCCUGAAGUCCGUGAUCCAAGAACAGUGUUAUCGUAACAUCUCUGCCGCUGAAACCAACGUGGAGAAGAUGAAUCUUCUGUUCGCGGUCGUAGAUUCAGGCGGCGAAGAGGUGAAAUCAGCUUUUUACAAGACUCUGAUGAAAGAAGAGCCUGAUUUAGUCCUCGACAUACUGAAAGCAGAACCUGAUCGAGUCAUAAACCUACUGGGUGAAGAACUGGGGAGAGCUGAAGAAGUCCUCUCCGGGAUCGCUUGUCAACGCAGAACACAGAGGACUAUCUCCCAAAGUAAUCACAGGCUUUAUGAGUCUAAUGUGUAAAUACCGGUCAGGUUAUUAAUGUUGUUGUCCUCGGGGAGAGAAGACCUCAGGCUUUAUGAGUCUAAUGUGUAAUUACUGGUCAGGUUAUUAAUGUUGUUGUCCUCGGGGAGAGAAGACCUCAGGCUUUAUGAGUCUAAUGUGCAAUUACUGGUCAGGUUAUUAAUGUUGUUUUCCUCGGGGAGAGAAGACCUCAGGCUUUAUGAGUCUAAUGUGCAAUUACUGGUCAGGUUAUUAAUGUGGGAAUGUUGUCCUCGGGGAGAGAAGACCUCAGGCUUUAUGAGUCUGUGUAGUUACUGGUCAGGUUAUUAAUGUUGUUCUCCUCAGGGGAGAAAAGACCUCAGGCUUUGAGUCUAAUGUGUAAUUACUGGUCAGGUUAUUAAUGUUGUUGUCCACAGGCUUUGAGUCUAAUGUGUAAUUACUGGUCAGGUUAUUAAUGUUGUUGUCCUCAGGCUUUAUGAGUCUAAUGUGUAAUUACUGGUCAAGUUAUUAAUGUUGUUGUCCUCAGGCUUUAUGAGUCUAAUGUGUAAUUACUGGUCAGGUUAUUAAUGUUGUCCACAGGCUUUAUGAGUCUAAUGUGUAAUUACUGGUCAGGUUAUUAAUG
Molecule: long non-coding RNA, 2082 nt
Filed under: Salmo salar (Atlantic salmon)
Lineage: Eukaryota; Metazoa; Chordata; Actinopteri; Salmoniformes; Salmonidae
Description: lncRNA (ENSSSAG00000090596.1)
Source: RNAcentral